UACAUUCACUACUGUAAGUCGCUCUGGAUAAGAGCGUCUGCUAAACGACUAAAA
Non-coding RNA from Salmo salar (Atlantic salmon), 54 nucleotides. Lineage: Eukaryota; Metazoa; Chordata; Actinopteri; Salmoniformes; Salmonidae. The record is from Rfam.